GCCGGGGUGGCGAAACUGGUAAACGCAGGGGACUUAAAAUCCCCCGCCUCUCGCGAGGCAUGCGGGUUCGACUCCCGCCCCCGGCA
This 86-nucleotide transfer RNA is filed under the name Acidobacteriota bacterium. RNAcentral describes it as "Acidobacteria bacterium tRNA-Leu". It matches the Rfam family "tRNA". Rfam says of the family: Transfer RNA (tRNA) molecules are approximately 80 nucleotides in length. Their secondary structure includes four short double-helical elements and three loops (D, anti-codon, and T loops). Further hydrogen bonds mediate the characteristic L-shaped molecular structure. tRNAs have two regions of fundamental functional importance: the anti-codon, which is responsible for specific mRNA codon recognition, and the 3' end, to which the tRNAs corresponding amino acid is attached (by aminoacyl-tRNA synthetases). tRNAs cope with the degeneracy of the genetic code in two manners: having more than one tRNA (with a specific anti-codon) for a particular amino acid; and 'wobble' base-pairing, i.e. permitting non-standard base-pairing at the 3rd anti-codon position. The record is from RNAcentral. Lineage: Bacteria; Pseudomonadati; Acidobacteriota. RNAcentral also lists the same sequence under 1 other name.